This is a non-coding RNA of Triticum aestivum (bread wheat), 115 nucleotides long. NCBI's taxonomy places the organism in Eukaryota, Viridiplantae, Streptophyta, Magnoliopsida, Poales, Poaceae. The record is from Rfam.
GUAUUACUUCCUCUGUUCGGAAUUACUUGUCUCGAAAAUGGAUGUAUCUAGAACUAAAAUACGUCUAGAUACAUCCAUUUCUGCGACAAGUAAUUCCGAACGAAGGGAGUACUAG